RNAcentral lists this transfer RNA (71 nucleotides) under Phyllomys mantiqueirensis (Mantiqueira Atlantic tree-rat). RNAcentral describes it as "tRNA-Gln". It matches the Rfam family "tRNA". Rfam says of the family: Transfer RNA (tRNA) molecules are approximately 80 nucleotides in length. Their secondary structure includes four short double-helical elements and three loops (D, anti-codon, and T loops). Further hydrogen bonds mediate the characteristic L-shaped molecular structure. tRNAs have two regions of fundamental functional importance: the anti-codon, which is responsible for specific mRNA codon recognition, and the 3' end, to which the tRNAs corresponding amino acid is attached (by aminoacyl-tRNA synthetases). tRNAs cope with the degeneracy of the genetic code in two manners: having more than one tRNA (with a specific anti-codon) for a particular amino acid; and 'wobble' base-pairing, i.e. permitting non-standard base-pairing at the 3rd anti-codon position. The record is from RNAcentral. Lineage: Eukaryota; Metazoa; Chordata; Mammalia; Rodentia; Echimyidae.
UAGAAUAGAGUGUACAGGUAGCACGGAGAGUUUUGAGCUCUUUAGAUUAGGUUCGAUUCCUAUUAUUCUAG